This 460-nucleotide ribosomal RNA is filed under the name uncultured bacterium. RNAcentral describes it as "partial 16S ribosomal RNA". It matches the Rfam family "Bacterial small subunit ribosomal RNA", at positions 338 to 795 of the family's 1533-position model. The record is from RNAcentral.
CCUACGGGAGGCAGCAGUGAGGAAUAUUGGUCAAUGGGCGAGAGCCUGAACCAGCCAAGUCGCGUGAGGGAUGACGGUCCUAUGGGUUGUAAACUUCUUUUGUCAGGGAGCAAAUGAGUCCACGUGUGGGAUUAGCAAGAGUACCUGAAGAAAAACAAUCGGCUAACCCCGUGCCAGCAGCGGCGGUACUACGGGGGAUGCGAGCGUGAUCCGGAUUUAUUGGGUUUAAAGGGUGCGUAGGCGGGAUACAAAGUCAGCGGUAAAACUUCGGGGCUCAACCCCGUCGUGCCGUUGAAACUGAUGUUCUUGAGUGGGCGAGAAGUAUGCGGAAUGCGUGGUGUAGCGGUGAAAUGCAUAGAUAUCACGCAGAACUCCGAUUGCGAAGGCAGCAUACCGGCGCCCAACUGACGCUGAAGCACGAAAGCGUGGGUAUCGAACAGGAUUAGAUACCCCAGUAGUC